CGACCCCAGGUCAGGCGGGACUACCCGCUGAGUUUAAGCAUAUCAAUAAGCGGAGGAGAAGAAACUUACAAGGAUUCCCCUAGUAACGGCGAGCGAACCGGGAUCAGCCCAGCUUGAGAAUCGGGCGGCACCGCCGUUCGAAUUGUAGUCUGUAGAAGCGUCCUCAGCGACGGACCGGACCCAAGUCCCCUGGAAGGGGGCGCCAGAGA
RNAcentral lists this ribosomal RNA (209 nucleotides) under Ophiocaryon heterophyllum. Its description in RNAcentral is "partial 26S ribosomal RNA". It matches the Rfam family "Eukaryotic large subunit ribosomal RNA", at positions 1 to 209 of the family's 3401-position model. The record is from RNAcentral. Lineage: Eukaryota; Viridiplantae; Streptophyta; Magnoliopsida; Proteales; Sabiaceae.